This 303-nucleotide long non-coding RNA is filed under the name Ananas comosus (pineapple). RNAcentral's name for it is "long non-coding RNA (ACOM_LNC017470)". The record is from RNAcentral. Lineage: Eukaryota; Viridiplantae; Streptophyta; Magnoliopsida; Poales; Bromeliaceae.
AUAUCCUCCCACAUAUAUAAGGAUUGUUGGCUAUUUAUUAUUAGCUAAAAUAUAUGGGUCCAAUUUUUUGUCCCGAGAUAAUUGGCCCAAUAGACUAGCAUUUGAGUGAGAUUGCGAUCCAUAAUAAACCUAACGGCACACGACAAGAGACCCAAUAAUAAAUCUUACAUCUAGAUAGAAUGAGUCUGAUCGAAACUCCUUGAGUGCUAAAAUUAUGUCCUUAAGUGCGAUGGGUGCGCCCUUUGAAUCAAUAUAUGCUUUUGAAAUAGCUGGUUAGUAUUUAGAAUAGCCAGAUAAUAAUUU